RNAcentral lists this ribosomal RNA (388 nucleotides) under Trametes sp. RNAcentral describes it as "partial small subunit ribosomal RNA". It matches the Rfam family "Eukaryotic small subunit ribosomal RNA", at positions 582 to 975 of the family's 1831-position model. The record is from RNAcentral. Lineage: Eukaryota; Fungi; Basidiomycota; Agaricomycetes; Polyporales; Polyporaceae.
AUUCCAGCUCCAAUAGCGUAUAUUAAAGUUGUUGCAGUUAAAAAGCUCGUAGUUGAACUUCAGACCUGGCCGGGCGGUCCGCCUAACGGUGUGUACUGUCUGGCUGGGUCUUACCUCUUGGUGAGCCGGCAUGCCCUUCACUGGGUGUGUCGGGGAACCAGGACUUUUACCUUGAGAAAAUUAGAGUGUUCAAAGCAGGCUUAUGCCCGAAUACAUUAGCAUGGAAUAAUAAAAUAGGACGUGCGGUUCUAUUUUGUUGGUUUCUAGAGUCGCCGUAAUGAUUAAUAGGGAUAGUUGGGGGCAUUAGUAUUCAGUUGCUAGAGGUGAAAUUCUUGGAUUUACUGAAGACUAACUACUGCGAAAGCAUUUGCCAAGGAUGUUUUCAUUA